Molecule: long non-coding RNA, 1149 nt
Organism: Monodelphis domestica (gray short-tailed opossum)
Lineage: Eukaryota; Metazoa; Chordata; Mammalia; Didelphimorphia; Didelphidae
Source: RefSeq, a predicted model, not a curated record
UAGUGGUGGUGAGCAAAAAAGACCUUCAGAUUCUCAAGAAAGAUGGAUGUCUCAGCAUCAUGUUCCUGUGAUAGCCUUUCAGCUACUUUGGAGUUUAAUGGGGAAAUAGGACUAUGGGAAGCAGCGAGGAGCAUAUCUCAAAUUGGGCAAAUACCUCAACUACCAGCAGGCACCAUACAGAUAUGCCACUUGUGAGAAAAGCAGCUUCAGAAUGAUGAUGGUCUAACUGGAAGUCAUGAGGGAAUGGAGUUACAGAAUGCCAAGAAUUGUCUGCCACGUGGAACUUGCUUGGCACAUGCCUUGGGCCGUGAAAAUGUCUUCUCCUCCCACUAGAACUAUGUCUCCUAGCAGCAGCAGUGCCAGGGAAUCCCUUAUAAAAGGUAGCCUUGGUACUAGCUCUUCACACCAUCUGCCUCCUGGGAGAUAAGUCGUUCACUGUCUGUGAUUGGAUUGACCUUGCACAGAGAUGUCCUGCCAGCAAAGCCAGCAACAGUGCCAGGCCCCUAAGUGCCCACCCAAGUGUCCCCCCAAGUGUCAGACACCAAAAUGCCCACCCAAAUGCCCACCCAAGUGUCCUCCCAAGUGUCCACCCAAGUGCCCUCCCCAGGCUCCAUGCCCUCCUCCUUCUUGCUGUGGCUCUAGCUCAGGAGGAUGCUGUAGCUCAGGAGGAUGCUGUGGGAGCUCUGGAGGAUGCUGCAGCUCUGGCUCUGGAGGAGGCUGCUGCCUCUUCUCCCACCAUCAUAGAAGAUCCCACAGACACAGACGCCCAAAGUCUGACUGCUGUGACAGUGGCAGUGGGCACAGCCAGCAGUCUGGAGGCUGCUGUGGGAGCUCUGGGGGAUGCUGUGGAAGCUCUGGGGGAUGUUGUGGAAGCUCUGGGGGAUGUUGUGGAAGCUCUGGGGGCUGCUGCUGAUCAUCUUUUUCUCUGCAGCAAGCAUCAAUGAUGUUGAACUAUCUAACUAGGGGCCAAUAAAUGACCCUACCCACAUCUGCAGCUGUUAUGCCUACCUCUUCAUUCGCCUCUCUGAAGUAGCUCCUCAGAAACCCUCAUUGAUCUUGGAUCAAUAAGCCUUGUGUUUGCCUAACCUCCAUCCUACUGCUCCCUCUUGGUCAGAGACAAUAUGCAACAAUAAAUCUACAUUCACAGUC